UGUCAUGAGAAAAAGAAGGCUAACUGUUUUGAUAAAACUUGCUUCAGUUUCAUCUCUUCUGUUUUAUUAUUAAGUCAAAAUCAUUAUUAAGGCUUGCUGAUGUGUACUUUGAUUAUUUUUAAUAGUUUGGCUUGAGCUCCCACCUUUCAUUGGUUUGGGAGCUGGAUGCAGGAAACCUCACCUUUCCCCUUCCUGUCUCUGGUCUUUGCUGUCCCCUCCCGUUAAUGGAGUGUUUUCUUCAACAAUCGGAUGGAUCUUUGUUUUCCUCCAUUGAUUCUCUGAGAUGGUGCACACUCAUCGUGAUGAAUGUACCGUG
This 316-nucleotide long non-coding RNA is filed under the name Bos taurus (domestic cattle). Its description in RNAcentral is "long non-coding RNA NONBTAT024351". The record is from RNAcentral. Lineage: Eukaryota; Metazoa; Chordata; Mammalia; Artiodactyla; Bovidae.